UACGUAGGGGGCGAGCGUUGUCCGGAAUUACUGGGCGUAAAGAGCAUGUAGGCGGCAUGUUAAGUCAGGUGUCAAAGUGCGGGGCUCAACCCCGUAACGCACUUGAAACUGGCAUGCUUGAGGGCAGGAGAGGAAAGUGGAAUUCCUAGUGUAGCGGUGAAAUGCGUAGAUAUUAGGAGGAACACCAGUGGCGAAGGCGACUUUCUGGACUGUACCUGACGCUGAGAUGCGAAAGCUAGGGGAGCAAACAGG
Molecule: ribosomal RNA, 252 nt
Filed under: uncultured bacterium
Lineage: Bacteria
Description: partial 16S ribosomal RNA
Rfam family: Bacterial small subunit ribosomal RNA
Source: RNAcentral